UUAUUGUUCUUUCUUGUUUGUCGGUAUUGUUCCCUCUCGGUAUACGAUGGUUCUGACGAAGUGAUCGUUGACACUGAUGAAGUCUCAUGGCUAUCUUCAGACGUGUCAGGCAAGCAAACCCCCCUUGAGCAUACUGAUAUAAACCCACUCUCUUGCUCCUGAUCUCUUUUAUUGCAUUCGGACAAACACGAUUCAACUGUUACAUGUUCUCGG
This 213-nucleotide long non-coding RNA is filed under the name Hordeum vulgare. RNAcentral's name for it is "long non-coding RNA (HVUL_LNC001452)". Lineage: Eukaryota; Viridiplantae; Streptophyta; Magnoliopsida; Poales; Poaceae. The record is from RNAcentral.